UGCAAUGUCACUCAAGUUGAUUCUAUA
Molecule: small RNA, 27 nt
Filed under: Bombyx mori (domestic silkworm)
Lineage: Eukaryota; Metazoa; Arthropoda; Insecta; Lepidoptera; Bombycidae
Description: ovarian small RNA-33413
Source: RNAcentral